UACGGGGGGGGCAAGCGUUGUUCGGAAUUACUGGGCGUAAAGGGCUCGUAGGUGGCCAACUAAGUCGGACGUGAAAUCCCUCGGCUUAACCGGGGAACUGCGUCCGAUACUGGUUGGCUUGAGUUUGGGAGAGGGAUGCGGAAUUCCAGGUGUAGCGGUGAAAUGCGCAGAUAUCGGGAAGAACACCCGUGGCGAAGGCGGUUCUCUGGGACGGUACUGACGCUGAGACGCGAAAGCGUGGGGAGCGAACAGG
Molecule: ribosomal RNA, 253 nt
Filed under: uncultured bacterium
Lineage: Bacteria
Description: partial 16S ribosomal RNA
Rfam family: Bacterial small subunit ribosomal RNA
Source: RNAcentral